CAUGCAAGUCGAACGGAGCUUAGAGAGCUUGCUUUUUAAGCUUAGUGGCGAACGGGUGAGUAACGCGUGAGUAACCUGCCCUAGAGUGGGGGACAACAGUUGGAAACGACUGCUAAUACCGCAUAAGCCCACGGUGCCGCAUGACACUGAGGGAAAAGGAUUUAUUCGCUUUAGGAUGGACUCGCGUCCAAUUAGCUAGUUGGUGAGGUAACGGCCCACCAAGGCGACGAUUGGUAGCCGGACUGAGAGGUUGAACGGCCACAUUGGGACUGAGACACGGCCCAGACUCCUACGGGAGGCAGCAGUGGGGGAUAUUGCACAAUGGGGGAAACCCUGAUGCAGCGACGCCGCGUGGAGGAAGAAGGUUUUCGGAUUGUAAACUCCUGUCGUUAGGGACGAUAAUGACGGUACCUAACAAGAAAGCACCGGCUAACUACGUGCCAGCAGCCGCGGUAAAACGUAGGGUGCAAGCGUUGUCCGGAAUUACUGGGUGUAAAGGGAGCGCAGGCGGGAAGACAAGUUGGAAGUGAAAACCAUGGGCUCAACCCAUGAAUUGCUUUCAAAACUGUUUUUCUUGAGUAGUGCAGAGGUAGAUGGAAUUCCCGGUGUAGCGGUGGAAUGCGUAGAUAUCGGGAGGAACACCAGUGGCGAAGGCGGUCUACUGGGCACCAACUGACGCUGAGGCUCGAAAGCAUGGGUAGCAAACAGGAUUAGAUACCCUGGUAGUCCAUGCCGUAAACGAUGAUUACUAGGUGUUGGGGGAUUGACCCCCUCAGUGCCGCAGUUAACACAAUAAGUAAUCCACCUGGGGAGUACGACCGCAAGGUUGAAACUCAAAGGAAUUGACGGGGG
This 852-nucleotide ribosomal RNA is filed under the name uncultured bacterium. Its description in RNAcentral is "bacterial SSU rRNA". It matches the Rfam family "Bacterial small subunit ribosomal RNA", at positions 54 to 919 of the family's 1533-position model. The record is from RNAcentral.